Molecule: ribosomal RNA, 491 nt
Filed under: Treponema maltophilum
Lineage: Bacteria; Pseudomonadati; Spirochaetota; Spirochaetia; Treponematales; Treponemataceae
Description: bacterial SSU rRNA
Rfam family: Bacterial small subunit ribosomal RNA
Source: RNAcentral
AACGAACGCUGGCGGCGCGUCUUAAACAUGCAAGUCGAACGGCAGGAAGGGGCUUGCUUCUGAGAGUGGCGGACUGGUGAGUAACACGUGGGUGACAUACCUUUUAGUUGGGGAUAGCUAUUAGAAAUAGUAGGUAAUACCGAAUGUGACCGUAUUUAUUAGAAGGAUACGAGGAAAGGAGCUAAGGCUUCGCUAAAAGAAUGGCUCGCGGCCCAUUAUGCUAGUUGGUGAGGUAAUGGCCCACCAAGGCGAUGAUGGGUAUCCGGCCUGAGAGGGUGAACGGACACAUUGGGACUGAGAUACGGCCCAGACUUCUACGGGAGGCAGCAGUUAAGAAUAUUCCGCAAUGGACGAAAGUCUGACGGAGCGACGCCGCGUGGAUGAAGAAUGCCGAAAGGUUGUAAAAUCCUUUUAAGCCUGAUGAAUAAGCACAGUAGGGAAUGAUUGUGCGGUGACCGUAGGGCUUGAAUAAGCACCGGCUAAUUACGUGC